RNAcentral lists this ribosomal RNA (253 nucleotides) under uncultured prokaryote. Its description in RNAcentral is "partial 16S ribosomal RNA". It matches the Rfam family "Bacterial small subunit ribosomal RNA", at positions 525 to 777 of the family's 1533-position model. The record is from RNAcentral.
ACGGGGGGAGCAAGCGUUGUUCGGAAUUACUGGGCGUAAAGGGCGCGUAGGCGGCCUGUUAAGUCGAACGUGAAAUCCCCGGGCUCAACCCGGGAACUGCGUCCGAUACUGGCAGGCUUGAAUCCGGGAGAGGGAUGUGGAAUUCCAGGUGUAGCGGUGAAAUGCGUAGAUAUCUGGAGGAAUACCGGUGGCGAAGGCGGCAUCCUGGACCAUAACUGACGCUGAGGCGCGAAAGCUAGGGGAGCAAACGGGA